RNAcentral lists this ribosomal RNA (265 nucleotides) under uncultured Streptococcus sp. RNAcentral describes it as "partial 16S ribosomal RNA". It matches the Rfam family "Bacterial small subunit ribosomal RNA", at positions 1114 to 1373 of the family's 1533-position model. The record is from RNAcentral. Lineage: Bacteria; Bacillati; Bacillota; Bacilli; Lactobacillales; Streptococcaceae.
UUGUCCAUCAUUCAGUUGGGCACUCUAGCGAGACUGCCGGUAAUAAACCGGAGGAAGGUGGGGAUGACGUCAAAUCAUCAUGCCCCUUAUGACCUGGGCUACACACGUGCUACAAUGGUUGGUACAACGAGUUGCGAGUCGGUGACGGCGAGCUAAUCUCUUAAAGCCAAUCUCAGUUCGGAUUGUAGGCUGCAACUCGCCUACAUGAAGUCGGAAUCGCUAGUAAUCGUGGACUCAGCACGCCGCGGUCGAAUCGUCCGGCCUU